UAGUCAUAUGCUCAGCUCAAAGGCUAAGCCAUGCAUGUCUAAGUAUAAGGGCACUUGCCCGAAACUGCGAACGGCUCAUUACAACGGUCGUAAUUUGCACGGCCCUAUCCUCUUCUUUAGUCGGAUAACACUGGGAACCUAGUGCUAAUACGUGCGCCUAAUGGCCCUGCAGCUCGUCUGUGGGGUCAGGCGCCUAUCGGCAUCCUUUUACGGGGUGUGGCAAUGAAGUGACCAGCGCGGGGGCAACCCCGCUUUUCGGGUGAAGUCAAGAUAGGUCGUAGACCGUCGCAAGACGGCAGGCCGUAUAAGCGACCGCCCCAUCAUACUUUCAACCGUAGUAUAGGGGACUACGGUGGUGGUGACGGGUAACGGAGGAUUUGGGUUCGACUCCGGAGAAUGAACAUGAGAUAUGUUUCAUACUUCUAAGGAAGGCAGCAGGCGCGCAAACUACCCAAUCGACAACGUCGGAGGUGGUGACGAGCAGUACUAAGGGUGCCGGUUUUACGGUCCCGUAGAAUGAACGAUGCACAGAUACUACGCUGAAUGCAAGAAGAGGGCAAGUCUGGUGCCAGCAGCCGCGGUAAUUCCAGCUCUUCGAGCAUAUAUUAAAGUUGUUGCGUUUAAAACGCCCGUAGUUGAGAUUGCUUGGUGGGGGGAAGCGGGGAAGUCCCGGGAAGGGGACAGGAGAAAAGGAGAAAGGAGGGGUGCGACGCGCUAUGCAUACGCUCUCUAGCGGCAUGCCUGGGAAUAGGGCUAGGAGAGAAAGGAGUGGGGGAAGAGCGAGAGAGGGGAAAGUGUGUGCUCUUUUACUAGGGCAUUCUCAACCUCUCUCCCGCUGCAAAACUUCCCCUCUCUGGAACUUCCCUCUCUUGGGCAGCUGCACUGUAAGUGUGCGAGUGUGGAGCGCCUCUUUUUCCUGGUCUUCUACUGCCUUCCUCUCUGGGACCCCCCCUGCUGCCCCUCCCAUGUCUUUUGUUACCAUAAAGAAAUUGGAGUGUCUAUAGCAGGUCGUGCCCUUGUGGCUCAGGCCCCUGUACAUUGCAGUAUGGAAUAACAGUUCAGACCUGCGUCUGUCUGCUGGUCACGCCCCUGGGCGCGGAGUCAGGUAGUCCACUGGGCGAGGGAGUGCCUGCUGGGUCAGGUCGUGGGGGGUGGGUGCGGCGCUGCACGGUGUUGAGUCUGGCGUAGGUCUAACCGCUAUGGGGCAGGCGCAAGUCUGCUACCGGCGGCCUGCGACGUUCCUUCGUCCGUGUGGUUAGCUCACUCGCCGUUCCCUGCGGCCACAUUGGCCCAGUGGGGCCCCCGUUCGGGCUGUCCAGAUAACGUCUCGGGGGUCAGGUGUGGCGUUGAUGGUAAAUAGGGGCGGUUUCCGGGGGCAUAAGUAUUGGGCCGGGAGAGGUAAAAUUUUAUGAUCGGUCCACGACUACCAGAGGCGAAAGCGCUUGCCAAGGACGCUUUCAUUGAUCAAGGACGAGAGCUGGGGGAGAGAAGGAGAUCAGACGCCUCUGUAUUCCCAUGCUGUAAACGAUGCCGACUAGGUGUGGGGGGGCUGCUCGUCAAAGGCACCCUCCGUGCCCCGCGAGAAAUCUGUAAGUAUUCAGGUUACGGGGGGAGUAUGGUCGCAAGGCUGAAACUUAGAGGAAUUGACGGAAGGGCACCACAAUUGGCGUGGAGCCUGCGGCUUAAUUGGAUUCAACGCCGUUAACCUUACCAGGCCCUGACUCACACGGGAUUGACAGGAUGCAGUUCUUUCGUGAUUGUGAGAGUGGUGGUGCAUGGCCGUUCUUAGUUCGUGGUGUGAACUGUCUGCUUAAUUGCGAUAACGGACGAGACCUCUGCCUGGUGACUGAGUGCCGGGGGGGGGAGUCCGGUGGUGGGUGUCAGAACAAAAGGGGACGCCAACAAGAGAAGGACUAGAAAAAAAAAAGGGGGAAACACGGUGCCUUGUGCAUUGCAUGUCCUAACAAGAGAUGUGCGUGUGCUGGGCGUCUUCCCCUUCUUUUCUGGCGCUUCUCUGGUGGCCCUCUGGGACGCACCACUGCAGAACCCCCCGCGCUACUCCUUCACAGGGACUAUUGCUCAUAAAGCGCCGGAAGCGUGAGGCAAUAACAGGUCAGUGAUGCCCUUAGAUGCCUUCUAUUGGGUUGCACGCGUGCUACAAUGGCGGGUGCAGUGUGUGGAGGCCAAGCCCGAGAGGGUGCGGCAAUCCUGCGAGGCCCCGUCGCGGUUGGGAUCGUCCCUUGCAAUUAUUGGUCGUGAACUAGGAAUGCCUCGUAAGCGCGUGUCAGUGAUCGCGCGCUGAAUGCGUCCCUGCCCUUUGUACACACCGCCCGUCGCUCCUACCGAUUGGAUGUUGCGGCGAGUUGUCCGGAGGACGCGCCUCGGCGUGGCCCGAAGUUCUGCGAGCCCCAGCAUCUAGAGGAAGGAGAAGUCGUAACAAGGUUUCU
This 2447-nucleotide ribosomal RNA is filed under the name Chilomastix mesnili. RNAcentral's name for it is "partial small subunit ribosomal RNA". It matches the Rfam family "Eukaryotic small subunit ribosomal RNA". Lineage: Eukaryota; Fornicata; Retortamonadidae. The record is from RNAcentral.